This is a long non-coding RNA of Micropterus salmoides (largemouth bass), 994 nucleotides long. RefSeq lists it as uncharacterized. Lineage: Eukaryota; Metazoa; Chordata; Actinopteri; Centrarchiformes; Centrarchidae. The transcript has 2 exons. The record is from RefSeq and is a predicted model, not a curated record.
GUGAUGUGCUCAUCAUGUGUGAAGCUUGAUUGAACUACUCCUCCCAAGGUCAAAAAUAGACUUUCAUAAAUUUGUAUUCUAAAAUAGAUUAUUUUACAAGUGAAUCUGAAAACAUUGCUGACUGAUUUAUCAGGAUGUAUCCAGCAUACUUAAGUGUCUCUGAUCUUUAUUGACAUUAUUACCUGCACUUUCAUUAUAUAUUAGUCUCAAUGAUAGUGUUUUCCUACAUCCCUGUCUGCUUAGUGUGUUCUCUGCAGGGAGUUGUCAGUGAUAUUAUGUUGGUGGACCGCUGUAGAAAAUAUGCGGUACAGUACAUCUUCCCCAGGGACAUCCUGAGGAGGCACAGUAGAUGCUUGGCUAGUAGAAGACCUUGGCUAGCUUGACCGGGUCUCCUUUUUUUUUUAAGGGGAAAAAAAUGGGAUUUUGUUGGGGGAAAGCCCUAAUGAGAUCCAGCCCCCAUUUUCAAAUCAAUACAUGUCACUUUCCCCUCUGCUGACGACUACUGUUCACUCUGGAGACCCUCAUGAGAGCAAUUAGAGGCACCAUCUACACACCAACAGACCAAUUGAGAUGAUCUUGAUAGAGAACAAAAAAUACCAGGAAAAUUAAAUGUGUACAAAUCCAUGACACAGCCUGUCCAAGUGCUGCCAGUCUUUCUAUGCAUAUUUUGCCAUGAUCUUCUGCCUGACAUAAACCACCUUAACUGCUUUUAACUCUAUAUUGCUUAAUAUGAGGAGAUGUGGUUUAGAUUAGAUUUAGACAGAGUCAGAUUGAAACCAAAGUGAUAAUGUAAUUUUCUCCAAGGAUAACUAGUUAUUGGUCUAGAAUAUGGACUGAAUAGAAAACAAGGUUGGGCCCCUCUCAUCACAAUGUAUAGAUGUUGGAACCACUUGCUAAAUGAAUGUUUUCCUUUCAUUAUCAUCAUUUAAAAAACAAAUGUAUUUAAUUGUGUUAAGAUUGUGUUCUAAAGAACAUAGAUUAAAACCAUUUGUUA